CGCGGCCGGUUCAGAUUUUCUUCCUCCUCCUCCUCCCUCCAUCGAGGCCGACAUGUGUCCCCCCGUCCCCCGCGUUUGCUUCGACGGCCACGGCCACGCCUCCCGCGCGAGCGGCUACUAGCACUAGGCACUAGCUCGUUCCACCCGCGCGCGCGCGCGCUCCUCUCGCCGCGUCCCGCCGCCCAGAUCCGCCUCCCCCCCGGUUGAACCGUCGUCAUCGCCGCCGCCGCUUCGCCGCAAUUUGGGUUUCCAUGCCUCCCGCGCCGCUAUAUGCCAGUACCAGCCCCACCAAGUUCGCAAUGCCCCCCUCCCCGCCCCUGCCUCCCCCCUCGACCGCCAGCUCGCUGCGGGCUGCGGCACGGCCGUGGUGACUCAGAUUCAUGCAAUGGGGGGUGACAAGCUUGUGGCAGCAACUGCACAUCUUGCAAGAAAAUCUUAAGGGUUUUUCAGACCAUACCGGUGAUUUUCUUGCAAGUUGUGCAGUUGUUGUCUCAAGCUUGCUGCCUCCCUUUGCCAAAACUAUCAAGUCAGAAAGCAGAGUAGAGUUAUCAAUUUACGGGCACCAGAAAAAAAAAGUAAUAAACAUAUCUGACAUACAAACAGGAUGAUUAAUAACAGUACUCUCGUGGCAUGAAAUUAAUAUGUUGAAGCAUGAUUGUUACAGCAGUAAUAUAACGAAAAGUAAAUGUAGACAGGUAUAUGUUUUGAUGAUGUUGAUGUUAUCUUGGUUCUGCUAAAAUAUUUUGAUUAACAACAAUAUAUUUAUUUCCAUGGAUGCUAGUGCUACCAGGGAAUGGGAAAUGAACUAAUCAACAUAUGAAGUUCUAGUAAGGGUUCAAGGAAUCUCUCCAGGAAUGACCUGUGAGUGGUCCUAUAAUUGUUGGAGUUGAUUUGUCAUCAAUGUAGUACUAGAAUUUGCCAGUUAUUAACAUCCUUUGUCCAAAGCUACUCAGCAGGAGUGGCGAGGGCACAUCUUUGUAGUUCUGUAAAUCAAAUAAGACUGAAUAAUAUAUGUUAGUUUUCCAAGCAAUAAGAUGUA
Molecule: long non-coding RNA, 1039 nt
Organism: Oryza brachyantha (malo sina)
Lineage: Eukaryota; Viridiplantae; Streptophyta; Magnoliopsida; Poales; Poaceae
Exons: 4
Source: RefSeq, a predicted model, not a curated record